AGUGAACGCUGGCGGCAGGCCUAACACAUGCAAGUCGAGCGGCAGCGGGUUCCCGCGAGGGGAUGCCGGCGAGCGGCGGACGGGUGAGGAACACAUCGGAAUCUGCCUGGUUGUGGGGGAUAACGUAGGGAAACUUACGCUAAUACCGCAUGCGACCCUGAGUCGACGGACUGGGGGUGAAAGUGAGGGACCUUCGGGCCUCACGCGACCAGAUGAGCCGAUGUCGGAUAGCUAGUUGGCGGGGUAACGGCCCGCCAAGGCGACGAUCCGUAGCUGGUCUGAGAGGAUGAUCAGCCACACUGGGACUGAGACACGGCCCAGACUCCUACGGGAGGCAGCAGUGGGGAAUCUUGGACAAUGGGCGCAAGCCUGAUCCAGCCAUGCG
RNAcentral lists this ribosomal RNA (385 nucleotides) under uncultured bacterium. Its description in RNAcentral is "bacterial SSU rRNA". It matches the Rfam family "Bacterial small subunit ribosomal RNA", at positions 30 to 398 of the family's 1533-position model. The record is from RNAcentral.